CACUCCCCUCACCCUUCAGGCCUAGAGACUAAAAAAAGCAAACAUGGGGAGUUGAGGGAGCCUCGCUUCGCUGGCACUGCACUACCUUUCAUGGUGUCCCUACUACACCCUAUCCAUAGCUGUGUAAAUAUUCUCUUUAUUAGUAUUUGCUCAAAUUAGCCAAUGGAGAUGUGUCAUCUGGUCCCUACAGAGAUGCUAACUACUACAUAAGCUGAGAGGAAUGAUCUAAUAAUUGAUGAUGCUAAAGAACUAGAGGGUAAUUAGAGGAGCAAAGUCCUUGAGAAGAUGCCAUAGAAUGGGAUGCAGAACACAAAUGGAAGGAUUGGCCUUUCGUGGGAGCACUGCAAUAGGAGAAAAGGCAGAAGUUGUAGCUUCAGAUGAAGACUGGCUGAAAGAUCUGGUGGUGAGAAGAUGGGGAAGUUCAAGUCUGCAGAGGUGAGGUUGAAAACUGAGAAUGAGGCAUGUUGGGGGUAUAGGAUCUUUUAAGGGAGAUGUAAUGUGGUCUUUGUGAAGCAGAGAAGAGCCAAAGCAUGUUGGCAAGCAAACCAUAAAUGCAGGUGAAUGUUCAGUGCUCUUUGAGAUUUGUGUUCUUGAUUUUGAUGGAGACCAAUUGGUAGAAAGGAAAGUUUUUUCUCCUAGACUCAGAUUAAACAGAUAGUUGGGCUUAACCAGGGUCAGAGUUCAACUAAACUAGUCUGAUAGUAGGAAAGAGAGAUGAGGAAGUUAUGUUGUUUUCAAGGGAUUGCAAAUAAUAAUAUACCACAGAAACUAACCCGGAUAUGGUGGAAAGUGAGGACCCAGUAUUACAUAAGGAUAUCAUAUAACAGGUAUACGUGCUUGCAAUAGGAUAGAGAAAGAAAUAAUAAAAGUCUGCCCUACAACAUAAGGAUUUAAUAUAGAUUUUCUUGUGUGAGAAUAAAAAUAAUGAACAAGUUCAUUUUAUCUUCUAACAUAGGAAAGAAAGAUGUGAAAGCAGAUAAACCCAUAUGUAUGUAUUGAUCUUAUGUGUUUGAAUAGAAAUAUGCUAAGAAGCAAAUGACUGAAAUAGAAGGAAAAACUGUGUAUUUCAGCUUUUUGAUUCCAUCCAACUCCAAAGAAACAAAGGUACAGUUCUCAUGACAGGCCUUUUAUCUUCUCAGAGUUCAGUGCUAAAGACCCAUGCCCAAUUCAGGCUAACUUCUUUACCUUGUGGAGAAAGAUGAAGCCAGCAUUGCAGAGGAACCACAGGAACCAAAUCCUUAAUAAUUAUACUGUAAAUAUGCGUGCCCGUCUCUCAAAGACGCCAAGCAGUAUUUGUGUUAGUUUGCUCAGUGAUCGCAAACGAGAAGCAGCAUCUGCCAAUCUUACGUUUCAAGGUUUACAUCACAGGUGGAAGGUGUGCGUAAUCUGUGGGAAACUACAUAAAUUCAAUCGUUCUCACAAACGAAAAACAUUUUUAUGCUGUGAAAGGAAUCCUUUUUCUGAAACUCGUGCUACAGUUUUCCCAGGUAUUUUCUUGUGUUGUGGUUUACUCUUGCCUCAAAAAUAAAACCCAAAGAAGCAGAAGAAAAGCAGUUUAUGUUCGUGGGUGACAUUUACCCUAUAUGACAGUGCUCCUUUCACUAAGAUUGCAGGCAGCCUUCACAGCGUUAGAUCGAUAUGGAAACUAAUUCAAAUGUUUUUGCGGUUGAAGUCAAAAAGUCAAGUUUAGUGAUACAAAUAAAACAAUGAACUCUAAUUCUAUGCAAAGAGAAGAUAUAUUCUAAUAGGGACACGUCCCAUCCCAUAGUAUGUGGUAUGUAUAAUUUGUACCGUUAAG
Equus caballus (horse) is the source of this 1798-nucleotide long non-coding RNA. The record is from Ensembl. NCBI's taxonomy places the organism in Eukaryota, Metazoa, Chordata, Mammalia, Perissodactyla, Equidae.